RNAcentral lists this long non-coding RNA (668 nucleotides) under Homo sapiens (human). Its description in RNAcentral is "non-protein coding lnc-COL9A2-3:4". Lineage: Eukaryota; Metazoa; Chordata; Mammalia; Primates; Hominidae. The record is from RNAcentral.
CCGCCUACCCACGUCUCCCUUCCGAGGGCCGCCGGGGGCUGCGGGCGCGCGGAGAGGUCCACCGGGAGAGCGGGGCCCCCCGGGUCCCCCGGGACCGCCGGGAGUGCCUGGAUCCGACGGCAUCGACCCCUGACAUGCGGAGCCCGUUAUAGCCGCCGACAGACAAGGAGCUGCUGUUCAGUCCGCCGGCCGCAGCUCACAGCGAGGCCUCAUCCCCCUCCUCUCCUUUCCCCUCCUUGUGGGGUAGGAGGCGACUCAACCCCUCACCCUGCCUCUGGCACAUCUGGACGCUUCUUCAGGGUGACAAUGGGCCCCCUGGAAAAGCUGGCCCUCCGGGACCCAAGGGCGAGCCUGGCAAAGCUGGGCCAGAUGGGCCAGACGGGAAGCCCGGGAUUGAUGGUUUAACUGGAGCCAAGGGGGAGCCUGGCCCCAUGGGGAUCCCUGGAGUCAAGGGCCAGCCCGGGCUUCCUGGUCCUCCUGGCCUUCCGGGCCCUGGUUUUGCUGGACCUCCUGGGCCUCCUGGACCUGUUGGCCUCCCUGGUGAGAUUGGAAUCCGAGGCCCCAAGGGGGACCCUGGACCAGAUGGACCAUCGGGGCCCCCAGGACCCCCUGGGAAACCUGGUCGCCCGGGAACCAUCCAGGGUCUGGAAGGCAGUGCGGAUUUCCUG